UGGGGAAUUUUGGACAAUGGACGCAAGUCUGAUCCAGCAAUGCCGCGUGCAGGAUGAAGGCCUUCGGGUUGUAAGCUGCUUUUGUACGGAACGAAACGGUCUGCCUUAAUACGGUGGGCUAAUGACGGUACCGUAAGAAUAAGCACCGGCUAACUACGUGCCAGCAGCCGCGGUAAUACGUAGGGUGCGAGCGUUAAUCGGAAUUACUGGGCGUAAAGCGUGCGCAGGCGGUUAUAUAAGACAGAUGUGAAAUCCCCGGGCUCAACCUGGGACCUGCAUUUGUGACUGUAUAGCUAGAGUACGGUAGAGGGGGAUGGAAUUCCGCGUGUAGCAGUGAAAUGCGUAGAUAUGCGGAGGAACACCGAUGGCGAAGGCAGCUCACUAAGUUGUAACUGACGCUCAUGCACGAAAGCGUGGGGAUCAAACAGG
Molecule: ribosomal RNA, 429 nt
Filed under: uncultured bacterium
Lineage: Bacteria
Description: bacterial SSU rRNA
Rfam family: Bacterial small subunit ribosomal RNA
Source: RNAcentral